AGCCUAUGGAUUCAAUGCAUUACAAUGCUUUAUAUAGAACUAGGUUCUCAUAUUUUAGUUACAUCAAGUCCUAGCAUCAACGGCUAUCAAUUUCAUCACAAGACAUUACAAAAGUUGUUAUAACAACCUGACACUGCAGUUUGUCUUCUUGUCUUCAGUUGCUCAGUCUUGUCUUUAACAAGCUGCGAUAUCUUGCUCCUUUAGCUUGAUUACCAUCCAAUCCUGACCUUUGAUGCUUCUAGCCAUCCAAUGACUGAUAUUCAAACAUCAGAUGACUUGCUUAAUUCAAGGGAUUCAUGAGUUCCCGCCAAUGCCUUCAUUGAGGUAUAUUAUCAAACAAUUGUGCAGCAACCUCAGACACAUUUAUUUUAACUCCCCCUCUCAAGCUUAAUCGUCUGCUAAGACAUUGAGCUUGCUUCUUAGAUAUUCGAAACUUCGAUUAGGUAGUGCCUUGGUCAUUAUAUCUACAACUUGGUUCUUGCUUUCCACAUACUUCAAAUCAAACUCUCGGUUGCUGAUUUUAUUCCUCAUUAAGUGAACAUCUAUUUCAAUGUGUUUGGUUCUUCCAUGAAAGACUGGAUUUUCAGCAAGAGCUAUUGCACUCUUGUUGUCACACCAUAUUAUUAGCCUCUUCUCCAACUUGAUGUUCAUCUUUGCAAGUAAGGAUUGUAACCAAGUCAAUUCAGCUACUCCAUUUGACAGUGAUCUAUAUUCUGCUUAUGUGCUUGAGGUUGAUACUACCUUCUACUUCUUUGAACUCCAGGAGACUAGAUUUCCUGCCAAAAACAUGCAAUAACCACCUGUAGACUUUCUGUCAUCUCUAUCAGCUCCCCAAUCAGCAUCUGUAAAGGCUGAGAUUUCCAUUUUGUUUCCAGGUGUGAAGUACAUACCAUAAUUUAGGGUGCCUUGAAGGUAUCUCAAGAUCCUUUUGCAGCCUUGCCAGUGUAUCACUUUCGGUUCUUGCAUGAAUUGACUUAGUUUAUUGACGCUGUAAGCAAUGUCUGGCCGGGUGAUGGUUGCAUACUGCAAAGCUCCAAUGAAACUUCUGUAGAGAGUUUUGUCUUCAAAAAGUUGUCCUCCCUCUUCUUCUUCAGUCUACAAGGUGUACUUCACACUUGAACUUAAUGGGGUUAUGCUUUCUCUGCACCCUUUCAUGUUUGUCUUCUCUAGAAGUUCUUGCCCAUACUUGCUUUGGCAAAUAUGCAUCCCUGCACGGUCCCUUUUUACUUUAAUUCCAAGAAAAUAACUUAAUGAGCCUAGCUCCUUCAACGCGAAACUCUCAUUAAGUUUUUUAAUCAGGUCAUUGACAAGAUCUUGGCUACUACCAGUUAUAAGUAUAUCAUCUACAUACACAAGUACGUAUAUGACUUCUUUAUUAUCCCUCCAAUGAAACAGUGAGGUAUCCGAGACUGAGUUCUUGUAUCCCCAGCUGAGUAGGGCAGCUUUGAGCUUUUCAUACCAAGCCCUUGGAGCUUGUUUCAGUCCAUAGAGUGCUUUCUUUAGUCUACAUACAUAGUUUUCCUUUCCUUUCACUUUGAAUCCUUCUGGUUGCUCCAUGAACACGGUUUCAUUUAGUUCUCCAUUCAAAAAGGCAUUGUUGACAUCUACUUGUUUGAUGUCCCAACCAUAGUUGAUAGCCAAACUCAAGAGUACCUUGAUUGUGGAUGACUUGGCCACUGGACUGAAGGUUUCUGUGUAAUCAACCCCUACUAUUUGGUUAUAGCUUUUGGCCACUAAUCUCGCCUUGUGUCUCGCUACUGUCCCAUCUGGAUUGUGCUUUACUUUGUAGACCCAUUUGUUUCCGAUGACCUUUGUACCCUCUUGAAUUUUCACCAAUUCCCAAGUGUUGUUUCCGAUGACCUUAGAUGACCUUUGUAUUCAUCCAAUAUAGCAUUUCUCCAUUUCACAUUCCUGAUAGCACUUGCUAUAUUUGUUGGUAACUCAUAUGAAUUCCUUUGUGCAAGGUAUAUUUUAGGCUUGUAGAUUCCAUGUUUGGAUCUGGUUACCAUAGGGUGUGUGUUUAAUGGUUCUAAUGGUCGCUUAGGUUCUAUAUUGACUCUCUCCAAUUGUGUUUCUGUGUUUGGUUGAUGUGUUUGGAUCUGGUCUUGGUUUGGUGUUCUGAUUUGAUUUUCGAAUGAUGCUUGCAUUGUAUCUUGUGUAGAGUUAUGUUCACCCUUUUUGGAUGUUUUGUAUGGAUUGCUGUUUGAUUGUGGAGUUGAGAAAGUGCCACAAGGAAGUAAUAGAAGCUGCUGAUAGUUAGAUUGACUACUUGUCCUGCUUUCACUUUUGUUAGUCUCAAAGUUCUUAUCUAUAACAAAAGGAAACUCAUUCUCAUUGAAAAUCACAUGUCUAGCUACAUAAACUCUGCCUGUGCUAUCUAGACAUUUGUAUCCUUUGUGCUGUAAGGUAUACCCUAUAAACACACAUUUAGUGGUAUGGUACUGAAGUUUAUGUUGAUUAUAGGGUCUUAAAUAUGGAAAACAGGCACACCCAAAAGUUUUUAGGAAGGCAUAAUUAGGCUCAUUGUUGUAAAGUUUUUUGUAUGGACUGAUAUGACCUAGGGCCUGCGUAGGCAUUCUAUUGAUAAGAUAUGCAGCAGUUUCAAAGGCGUUCCACCACAGUUUUAAGGGCAUGUUUGCUUAUGCUAGCAUGGUGAGUGUUGUUUCUACAAUGUGCCUAUGCUUCCUUUCAACUUGGCCAUUUUGUAUUGACAUAUAUGGACAGGAAUGUCGGAAUAUGAUUCCAUUGUUCCUAAGAAACUCGGUUAAUGGUCUAAAUUCUCCCCCCAUAUCAGUCUGUAAACACUUGAUCUGUUUAUUUAAUGUUUUCUCGAUUUGAUUCUUGAAGUCAAUGAAGGUUUGUAUUGUUUCUGCUUUGCUGGUUAAGGGGUAAAUCCAUGUGUAUCUUAUGUGAUUAUCAACAAUACUUAAGUAGUACCUGUAACCUUUUCCUGAAAUUAUAGGUGUUGGACCCCAAAGAUCUGCAUGGAUCAAUUCAAGGGGUUGCUUUGUCUGUGUUUGUGAGCUUUUAAAAGUCAAUUUGUGAUUUUUACCAUAUUGGCAUGCAGUGCAGAAACUCAAAGAUUUUUCUUUAUUGAAAGCAGAUAAAUUUUUACAACUUGAAAUGAUUUUCAUAAGGGUCUGUUCACAAGGGUGGCCAAACCUUCUGUGUAACAUGUCAAGUUGAUUAAUUGACCCACUACUGGGCUUAGGACUUAAAGACUCAUCAACACUUUCUAAGACAGAAGCCUCACUUAUUGAAGCAAACAAAGACUCUGAUUUGUAGACUCUAUCAGCAGCACAUCCCUUCCUCAGACUUACAUAUUCUUGACUUCCAACAAUCUGAAACAGCCCUCCUAUAUCAAUUCCUUGAAGAAGAACAUUCUCCAAUUUGUCCUUAACAACAAAAGUUUCAUCAGAAAAUACAAUUGUUAGUUUGUUAUCUGUUGUAAGGCUAGAGAUACUUAAUAGGUUUUUGGUUAUUUGUGGAACUACAAGUACCCUUUUAAGCACAAGAUGUUCAUAUUUGUUACCAGCAUAUAUAGGCAAAUGUAUCGUUCAUGUGUGUGUGAUUUUAAGCUUGUGCCCAUUUCCAAUUAAGAUAAAGGAGUUACCUUUGUACUCAGACCUUACACUGAGGUUGUUGAGGUCAUUCGUAACAUGAUUAGUUGCUCUACUGUCUAAGUACUAGCCUGGUUCAUUGCUUCCUUCAUUUGUUGCCAGAAAGGCUCCUCUUGGCUGAUAGUUCUGAGGCUUUGGUUCAAAGUCAUCUUCUGUUCUGUACCAACACUCAUCAACUGUAUGGCCCUCUUUGUGGCAGAUUUGACAAAAAACUCCAGGCUUGAAUACCGUCUUCUUUGUUCCUCAUGGUCUCCCUCUUCCUUUUCCUUUAUUUGGUCUUCCAGCACCAUUGUUGGGAGGUCUAAAGUAUUGAUUUUGUGGACUAAGGUACUGGUUUGGUGGUUGGUUCCUUGGUCUCUCAUUCCUCUUUUGGGUCCAGUUGUUCCUUCCUUGCCUUGAGGCCAUAUUUGCUUCAAAAUUGUUGUCAUGAGUUGCAUUCUGCUCCAGUCUAGCUUCAUGGUUCAACAACACAGAAUACAUUUCAUCAAAGGUCAAUUCAUGAAGUCUUGACGUGAGGUUAACAACAACGGACUCAAAAGAUUGGCUAAGGCCAGUAAGCACAUGAGAGCAAAGAUCUUCUUCUGAAACCGGCUUUCCUGCCAUUUGCAACUCAUUUGCCAAGUUUCUUACUUUUGUGCAAAACUCAGUGAUAGUUUGUGUGUCUUUUCUUGCACCAUGCAACUGCAUCUUGAGAACUAUGGCAUCUGGCUAUUGAUUGGGAGGCAUAAAGCCUUUCUAGCACAGACCACAGUUCUUGUGAAGUUGUGCAAUGUGUCACAGCAGUGAUAAUAUUCUAUGAUAUUGUAGAAAGAAGCCAACUUAAGAGAAGUUGGUCUUGUCUACGCUAGAGUGCAUAUGCAGGGUUUGCAGAUGCUAUGAAAUUGUUUUCUGCAUCAGCAUCCUCUAAGAACUUUUCUGGACAUACAGAUGUUCCAUCAAUGAAGUUUUCCAGGCCAUUGCCACGGAUAGUAGGCAAGACCUGGGCUUUCCACAUAAUGUAAUUUCCUCUGUCAAGUUUCACAGGGGCUGUGAAGGAAAAACUUAUGGGUACAUGCAUGUUUAUGUGUGAGGAUGAUGAUUCAGUUUGUGUUUGGGUGGGUAAAGGACUUUGUGUUUGAGCUGGUGGUGUAUUGUUGAUCACAGCUUCUGGGGUUGGCUCAUUUGUUGCUUGAUUAUCCAUUUCUCGAUUUUUAAAGCUCUGAUACCAAGAUAAAAAAAGGAGGCUAGUAGUUUUCACACAAUUCACAAGCAAAAAUGAAGAAUCGAUUUUAUUUUUUCUAGCCUAUGGAUUCAAUGCAUUACAAUGCUUUAUAUAGAACUGGUUCUCAUGUUUUAGUUACAUCAAGUCCUAGCAUCAACGGCUAUCAAUUUCAUCACAAGACAUUACAAAAGUUGUUAUAACAACCUGACACUACAGUUUGUCUUCUUGUCUUCAAUUGCUCAGUCUUGUCUUUAACAAGCUGUGAUAUCUUGCUCCUUCAGCUUGAUUACCAUCCAAUCCUGACCUUUGAUGCUUCUAGCCAUCCAACGACUGGAUUCAUGAGUUCCCGCCAAUGCCUUCAUUCAAGGGAUUCAUGAGUUCCCGCCAAUGCCUUCAUUGAGGUAUAUUAUCAAACAAUUGUGCAGCAACCUCAGACACAUUUAUUUUAACUAGAGAUUAUUUCCAUCUAAAACCAAGAAGGAUAACCUCCCCAAGUGGCAAAGAUCAGAAGGAAUGGAUCCUUGCAAAUUAUUACCAAAGAGAAAUAAACCUUGUAGCUGCUGUAAUCUUCCCACUGUUGUUGGUAUAGUUCCAUUCAAGUCAUUGUCUUGUAGUCUUAAAUCUAUCAAGCCAUUUAAAUUACCAAUUUCUUGAGGAAUGCUACCCUUGAGUUCGCAAUCGUAUGCAUAAAAUUGUUGAAGAGAAUCAGAGAAAUUCCCUAUUAGUGGUGGAAGGAUGCCACUUAAUUGAUUAGAGUGUAGUCCUAACACUUUCAGGUAUAUACAAUUAGUCAAAGAAGAGAGAAAACUCCACUCUGUUGUAGAAGACCGGGUCGUCAAGUAAUUGUUCCCUAGAUCGAGGAGGCUGAGGAAUCUCAAGUUGCCAAAAGUGUUUGGAACAAGGCCUGAGAAAGAAUUUUUGCCCAAUUCUAGGAGAGUGAGUUCAGAAGCAUUGGUAAUGGAGUUGGGAAUUGUUCCUAUAAGUUUAUUCAUCCCCAAGGCCAACCACUUCAAGUUUGGAAGGGAGACACUAAGUAUUGAUGGUAGAUGGCCUGUGAGCUGAUUGCCAACCAGAUUAAUGACUGUCAUUGUCGAAAUAUUGAAGAUUGUUGGUGGAAUGGGACACUUAAGUUAUUGAUAUCAAGAAGUAAAUCCUCCAGAUUUUGUAGAUUGCCAAUCUCCAUUGGAAUUUCACCUGAUUGUCAACAUAAGAAGUUAAUGAGCUUUCCAAUUUUCUAGUUUUAUUGAACGUUACGGAAUAAAAAAAAAAUUGAUUGAUGAAUGAAAUCAUGAUCAUGGAGGAGAUUAAUAAUAUUUAAGAAAAAAUGAAGUUAUUUGAAUUUACCAAAAUACUCAAUAAACCGGUGUAUAAAG
This 6194-nucleotide long non-coding RNA is filed under the name Citrus sinensis (sweet orange). RNAcentral's name for it is "long non-coding RNA (CSIN_LNC004833)". Lineage: Eukaryota; Viridiplantae; Streptophyta; Magnoliopsida; Sapindales; Rutaceae. The record is from RNAcentral.